GACGAACGCUGGCGGCGUGCCUAAUACAUGCAAGUUGAGCGCUGAAGGUUGGUACUUGUACCAACUGGAUGAGCAGCGAACGGGUGAGUAACGCGUGGGGAAUCUGCCUUUGAGCGGGGGACAACAUUUGGAAACGGAUGCUAAUACCGCAUAAAAACUUUAAACACAAGUUUUAAGUUUGAAAGAUGCAAUUGCAUCACUCAAAGAUGAUCCCGCGUUGUAUUAGCUAGUUGGUGAGGUAAAGGCUCACCAAGGCGAUGAUACAUAGCCGACCUGAGAGGGUGAUCGGCCACGUUGGGACUGAGACACGGCCCAAACUCCUACGGGAGGCAGCAGUAGGGAAUCUUCGGCAAGGGACGAAAGUCUGACCGAGCAACGCCGCGUGAGUGAAGAAGGUUGUCGGAUCGUAAAACUCUGUUGGUAGAGAAGAACGUUGGUGAGAGUGGAAAGCUCAUCAAGUGACGGUAACUACCCAGAAAGGGACGGCUAACUACGUG
This 497-nucleotide ribosomal RNA is filed under the name uncultured bacterium. Its description in RNAcentral is "partial 16S ribosomal RNA". It matches the Rfam family "Bacterial small subunit ribosomal RNA", at positions 28 to 507 of the family's 1533-position model. The record is from RNAcentral.